GCACAAGCGGUGGAUGAUGUGGAUUAAUUCGAUGCAACGCGAAAACCUUACUACCCUUGACAUGUCCGGAAUCCCGGAAGAGAUUUGGGAGUGCUCGCAAGAGAACCGGAACACAGGUGCUGCAUGGCUGUCGUCAGCUCGUGUCGUGAGAUGUUGGGUUAAGUCCCGCAACGAGCGCAGCCCUUGUCAUUAGUUGCCAUCAUUUGGUUGGGCACUCUAAUGAGACUGCCGGUGACAAACCGGAGGAAGGUGGGGAUGACGUCAAGUCCUCAUGGCCCUUAUGGGUAGGGCUUCACACGUCAUACAAUGGUCGGUACAGGGGGUUGCCAACCCGCGAGGGGGAGCUAAUCCCACAAAGCCGAUCGUAGUCCGGAUCGCAGUCUGCAACUCGACUGCGUGAAGUCGGAAUCGCUAGUAAUCGUGGAUCAGCAUGUCACGGUGAAUACGUUCCCGGGUCUU
RNAcentral lists this ribosomal RNA (459 nucleotides) under uncultured Rhodocyclaceae bacterium. RNAcentral describes it as "bacterial SSU rRNA". It matches the Rfam family "Bacterial small subunit ribosomal RNA", at positions 923 to 1382 of the family's 1533-position model. Lineage: Bacteria; Pseudomonadati; Pseudomonadota; Betaproteobacteria; Rhodocyclales; Rhodocyclaceae. The record is from RNAcentral.